This 251-nucleotide ribosomal RNA is filed under the name uncultured bacterium. RNAcentral's name for it is "partial 16S ribosomal RNA". It matches the Rfam family "Bacterial small subunit ribosomal RNA", at positions 524 to 776 of the family's 1533-position model. The record is from RNAcentral.
GACGGAGGGGCUAGCGUUGUUCGGAAUGACUGGGCGUAAAGCGUGCGCAGGCGGCUAUGCAAGACAGAUGUGAAAUCCCCGGGCUCAACCUGGGAACUGCAUUUGUGACUGCAUGGCUAGAGUACGGUAGAGGGGAUGGAAUUCCGCGUGUAGCAGUGAAAUGCGUAGAUAUGCGGAGGAACACCGAUGGCGAAGGCAAUCCCCUGGACCUGUACUGACGCUCAUGCACGAAAGCGUGGGGAGCAAACAGG